GCGGUAACACCAGCCCCCCGAGUGGUGGGGAUGAUUAUUUGGCCUAAAGCGUCCGUAGCCGGCUCUGUAAAUCUCUCGUUAAAUCCAGCGUCCUAAGCGUUGGGCUGCGAGGGAGACUGCAGAGCUAGAGGGUGGGAGAGGUCAGCGGUAUUCCUGGGGUAGGGGCGAAAUCCAUUGAUCCCAG
RNAcentral lists this ribosomal RNA (184 nucleotides) under uncultured archaeon. RNAcentral describes it as "partial 16S ribosomal RNA". It matches the Rfam family "Archaeal small subunit ribosomal RNA", at positions 467 to 651 of the family's 1478-position model. The record is from RNAcentral.